AGGAAUUUAGGCUAGACCAGACCAAGAGCCUUCAAAGCUCUAAGCAAGUACAUAAUACUUAAUUCCUG
RNAcentral lists this transfer RNA (68 nucleotides) under Camelus bactrianus (Bactrian camel). RNAcentral's name for it is "tRNA-Trp". Lineage: Eukaryota; Metazoa; Chordata; Mammalia; Artiodactyla; Camelidae. The record is from RNAcentral. RNAcentral also lists the same sequence under 1 other name.